RNAcentral lists this ribosomal RNA (468 nucleotides) under Scheffersomyces shehatae. RNAcentral's name for it is "eukaryotic LSU rRNA". It matches the Rfam family "Eukaryotic large subunit ribosomal RNA", at positions 108 to 583 of the family's 3401-position model. The record is from RNAcentral. Lineage: Eukaryota; Fungi; Ascomycota; Pichiomycetes; Serinales; Debaryomycetaceae.
CUCAAAUUUGAAAUCUGGCACCUUCGGUGUCCGAGUUGUAAUUUGAAGAAGGUAACUUUGGAGUUGGCUCUUGUCUAUGUUCCUUGGAACAGGACGUCACAGAGGGUGAGAAUCCCGUGCGAUGAGAUGUCCAACUCUAUGUAAAGUGCUUUCGAAGAGUCGAGUUGUUUGGGAAUGCAGCUCUAAGUGGGUGGUAAAUUCCAUCUAAAGCUAAAUAUUGGCGAGAGACCGAUAGCGAACAAGUACAGUGAUGGAAAGAUGAAAAGAACUUUGAAAAGAGAGUGAAAAAGUACGUGAAAUUGUUGAAAGGGAAGGGUUUGAGAUCAGACUUGGUAUUUUGUAUGUCUUGCUUUCGGGUGGGGCCUCUGCAGUUUACUGGGCCAGCAUCGGUUUGGACGGUAGGAUAAUGACAUUGGAAUGUGGCACUACUUCGGUGGUGUGUUAUAGACUUUGUUGAUACUGCCUGUC